This 410-nucleotide ribosomal RNA is filed under the name uncultured microorganism. RNAcentral describes it as "bacterial SSU rRNA". It matches the Rfam family "Bacterial small subunit ribosomal RNA", at positions 509 to 917 of the family's 1533-position model. The record is from RNAcentral.
CAGCCGCCGCGGUAAUACGUAGGGUGCGAGCGUUAAUCGGAUUUACUGGGCGUAAAGCGUGCGCAGGCGGCCCGUUAAGACAGGUGUGAAAUCCCUGGGCUCAACCUAGGAAUUGCGCUUGUGACUGGCGGGCUCGAGUACGGUAGAGGGGGGUGGAAUUCCUGGUGUAGCAGUGAAAUGCGUAGAGAUCAGGAGGAACACCGAUGGCGAAGGCAGCCCCCUGGGCCUGGACUGACGCUCAGUCACGCAAGCGUGGGGAGCAAACAGGAUUAGAUACCCUGGUAGUCGACGCCGAAAACGAUGGGUACUAGCCGUUUGGUGCGCGAUAGCGCUGAGUGGCGAAGCUAACGCGUGAAGUCCCCCGCCUGGGGAGUACGGCCGCAAGGUUGAAACUUAAAGGAAUUGGCGGG